RNAcentral lists this ribosomal RNA (465 nucleotides) under uncultured bacterium. Its description in RNAcentral is "partial 16S ribosomal RNA". It matches the Rfam family "Bacterial small subunit ribosomal RNA", at positions 339 to 795 of the family's 1533-position model. The record is from RNAcentral.
CUACGGGACGCAGCAGUGAGGAAUUUUGCGCAAUGGGGGCAACCCUGACGCAGCAACGCCGCGUGAGUGAAGAAGGCCUUUGGGUCGUAAAGCUCUGUCAACUGGGAAGAAGUUAUAGCUAUUAAAUAGAUAGUUGUAUUGACGGUACCAGUGGAGGAAGCGCCGGCUAACUCCGUGCCAGCAGCCGCGGUAAUACGGGGGGCGCAAGCGUUAUUCGGAAUUAUUGGGCGUAAAGGGCGCGCAGGCGGUCUUGUCAGUCAGAUGUGAAAGCCCGGGGCUCAACCCUGGAAGUGCAUUUGAAACAGCAAGACUUGAGUACGGGAGAGGAGAGAGGAAUUCCUGGUGUAGAGGUGAAAUUCGUAGAUAUCAGGAGGAACACCGAUGGCGAAGGCAUCUCUCUGGACCGAUACUGACGCUGAGGCGCGAAGGCGUGGGUAGCAAACGGGAUUAGAUACCCUCGUAGUC